UAGAACGCACAGGAUGCACCGUAGUUUACUACACCGUAUUCUGUGAGUUGCGAACGGGUGAGUAACGCGUAGGUAACCUGCCUGGUAGCGGGGGAUAACUAUUGGAAACGAUAGCUAAUACCGCAUAAGAACAUUUACUGCAUGGUAGAUGUUUAAAAGGUGCAAGAGCAUCACUACCAGAUGGACCUGCGUUGUAUUAGCUAGUUGGUGAGGUAACGGCUCACCAAGGCAACGAUACAUAGCCGACCUGAGAGGGUGAUCGGCCACACUGGGACUGAGACACGGCCCAGACUCCUACGGGAGGCAGCAGUGGGGAAUAUUGCACAAUGGGGGAAACCCUGAUGCAGCGACGCCGCGUGAGUGAAGAAGUAUCUCGGUAUGUAAAGCUCUAUCAGCAGGGAAGAAAAUGACGGUACCUGAGUAAGAAGCCCCGGCUAACUACGUGCCAGCAGCCGCGGU
This 459-nucleotide ribosomal RNA is filed under the name Streptococcus sp. oral clone 5RH-38. RNAcentral describes it as "bacterial SSU rRNA". It matches the Rfam family "Bacterial small subunit ribosomal RNA", at positions 47 to 521 of the family's 1533-position model. The record is from RNAcentral. Lineage: Bacteria; Bacillati; Bacillota; Bacilli; Lactobacillales; Streptococcaceae.